UUCCGUGGCGGACCGUGCGGGGAGGCUUCGGCCUGCCGUUUUCCUCAUACCCGGUGAUCCUACCCCCGUACGGUCCGCCUCCCUU
RNAcentral lists this non-coding RNA (85 nucleotides) under Pseudomonas citronellolis. RNAcentral also lists the same sequence under 1 other name. The record is from RNAcentral. Lineage: Bacteria; Pseudomonadati; Pseudomonadota; Gammaproteobacteria; Pseudomonadales; Pseudomonadaceae.